UUCGAGUGGCGGACGGGUGAGUAACGCGUGGGUAACCUGCCCUACACAGGGGGAUAACACCUGGAAACAGGUGCUAAUACCGCAUAAGCGCACAGGGCCGCAUGGCCCGGUGUGAAAAACUCCGGUGGUGUAAGAUGGACCCGCGUCUGAUUAGCUUGUUGGCGGGGUAGGGGCCCACCAAGGCGACGAUCAGUAGCCGGCCUGAGAGGGCGGACGGCCACAUUGGGACUGAGACACGGCCCAAACUCCUACGGAAGGCAGCAG
This 264-nucleotide ribosomal RNA is filed under the name uncultured bacterium. Its description in RNAcentral is "partial 16S ribosomal RNA". It matches the Rfam family "Bacterial small subunit ribosomal RNA", at positions 90 to 354 of the family's 1533-position model. The record is from RNAcentral.